Molecule: long non-coding RNA, 752 nt
Filed under: Phascolarctos cinereus (koala)
Lineage: Eukaryota; Metazoa; Chordata; Mammalia; Diprotodontia; Phascolarctidae
Description: lncRNA (ENSPCIG00000037071.1)
Source: RNAcentral
CUCAAGGCAUUAUUGAGUCCACCAAUGAGAAGAAAGUCCCAUACCAAUUGGCUUUGGCACUAGGAUACACCAUGAUACCUCUCUCUCUCUCUCUCUCUCUCUCUCUCUCUCUCUCUCUCUCUCUCUCUCUCUCUCUCUCUCUCUCUCUCUCUGGUGAAGCAAUCAGAGUUAAGUGACUUGCCCAGGAUCACACAGCUAGUAAGUAUCAAGUGUUUAAGGCCUCAUUUCAACUCAGGUCCUCCUGAUUCCAAGGCCGGAGCUCUAUCCACUGUGCCACCUAGCUGCCUCCCACGAUAUCUCUUAUAGUUCUCAACAUCAUUCAUUCAGGUUGCAAACAGAGAUUCUGAAAAAUGAGACAUUUCCAGCCCUGGUGGUCAUCUUACGAGUUGGAGAAGCUGGGUCAGCUGUUCAGUGGGAGGCCUAUUUCAAGUUUACAUUCCCCUCAACCUCAGUGAGAGGAGAAGGACAUGGUGAUUUUUCUGCUUCCCGAAUGACUAUCACCCUUCACCUUGUGUUUCCUCAUCUGUAAACCGAGCUGGAGAAGAAAAUGGCAAACCACUCCAGUAUCUUUGCUAAGAAAACUCCAAAUGGGGUCACAAAGAGUUGGACACAACUGAAAAUGGCUGAACAACAAGAAGAGUUAGAAGACUUGGAAAAUUGAAGGUCAAUCAGAAAUGAAGAGAAUAAUAGUAUUUGGAGCUGGACAUUGUCAUGUCCGAAUCAUUCAUUAAAAAAAAAUGUUAAAAUUGACU